GGGGGUGUAGCUCAGUUGGUUAGAGCGCUGGCCUGUCACGCCAGAGGCCGCGAGUUCGAGUCUCGUCACUCCCGCCA
Molecule: transfer RNA, 77 nt
Filed under: Hyphomicrobiales bacterium
Lineage: Bacteria; Pseudomonadati; Pseudomonadota; Alphaproteobacteria; Hyphomicrobiales
Also listed under: 7 other names
Description: tRNA-Asp
Rfam family: tRNA
About the family: Transfer RNA (tRNA) molecules are approximately 80 nucleotides in length. Their secondary structure includes four short double-helical elements and three loops (D, anti-codon, and T loops).
Source: RNAcentral